Molecule: small RNA, 750 nt
Filed under: Pan troglodytes (chimpanzee)
Lineage: Eukaryota; Metazoa; Chordata; Mammalia; Primates; Hominidae
Description: processed transcript
Source: RNAcentral
UUUUCCUCUGCUGCCUCCCGCAGACCCAAGGCUGAGUGAGGGGCGGCGGCGGAAGUGGGAGGCCCACCCAAAAAGCCAAAUGGGGGGCCAGAAGAGUGAAGGCGCACCCUGGGGUCACCCUACCCUACCCUGUCCCCUCCCAGCCCCACUCUGCGGGCGGGCGCUGCCCUUUUGGGCGUCGCAGACCCUCCAACCCCGGCGGCGGCCUUAAGAUUCCCGGGCUGGGAUCCCUGCUGCAGAGGGGGAACUUGGCUGUGUUGUCCUGCCUCAGAGACAAAUUCAUCUAUUGUAGGCCUAGCCUGGGUUGCUGCCUUUGAAAACAAGGAAAGGUUGGUAGAACAUCAACACAGCAUGGAAUUUCCAGGGAGGUCUCAUUUCAAAACUUCAUAAAGAACAAGAACCACCUGGACUUCUGUGAGGGCGAUGAUUAAACUGGCCUGAGUUUGAAUGAAAGGAUAAUGUGUGCUCAACCUGUAACUAACACCAAGGAGGUCAAGUGGCAGAAGGUCUUGUAUGAGCGACAGCCCUUUCCUGAUAACUAUGUGGACCGGCGAUUCCUGGAAGAGCUCCGGAAAAACAUCCAUGCUCGGAAAUACCAAUAUUGGGCUGUGGUAUUUGAGUCCAGUGUGGUGAUCCAGCAGCUGUGCAGUGUUUGUGUUUUUGUGGUUAUCUGGUGGUAUAUGGAUGAGGGUCUUCUGGCCCCCCAUUGGCUUUUAGGGACUGGCCUGGCUUCUUCACUGAUUGGGUAUG